This 495-nucleotide ribosomal RNA is filed under the name uncultured bacterium. RNAcentral's name for it is "partial 16S ribosomal RNA". It matches the Rfam family "Bacterial small subunit ribosomal RNA", at positions 28 to 507 of the family's 1533-position model. The record is from RNAcentral.
GACGAACGCUGGCGGCGUGCCUAAUACAUGCAAGUAGAACGCUGAAGGAGGAGCUUGCUUCUCUGGAUGAGUUGCGAACGGGUGAGUAACGCGUAGGUAACCUGCCUGGUAGCGGGGGAUAACUAUUGGAAACGAUAGCUAAUACCGCAUAAUAGUAGAUGUUGCAUGACAUUUGCUUAAAAGGUGCAAUUGCAUCACUACCAGAUGGACCUGCGUUGUAUUAGCUAGUUGGUGAGGUAACGGCUCACCAAGGCGACGAUACAUAGCCGACCUGAGAGGGUGAUCGGCCACACUGGGACUGGGACACGGCCCAGACUCCUACGGGAGGCAGCAGUAGGGAAUCUUCGGCAAUGGACGGAAGUCUGACCGAGCAACGCCGCGUGAGUGAAGAAGGGUUUCGGAUCGUAAAGCUCUGUUGUAAGAGAAGAACGAGUGUGAGAGUGGAAAGUUCACACUGUGACGGUAUCUUACCAGAAAGGGACGGCUAACUACGUG